This 1202-nucleotide long non-coding RNA is filed under the name Olea europaea subsp. europaea. Lineage: Eukaryota; Viridiplantae; Streptophyta; Magnoliopsida; Lamiales; Oleaceae. The record is from RNAcentral.
UAUACUUCUAGAAUACAACUGUAAGUAAUACAAGAGAGAAUAUUUUUGUGAAUAUGAUUCUUUAUAUAAUCAAUUGCAAAUGUGAAUAAUUUCUUUUAUGUGGUGAGGAUGUGUUGUCAACAUGUAGACAUGUCAUUUGACUUAUAUAUUUUUCUAUUGUAAUUCAUAUUAUUUGUAUCCACAUAAACAUGCAUGUGAAAUAUCACGAGUUUCUUAUAUUUGGAGCAAACUUAAACAUUAGUUUUAACUGCAUAUACUGUUACUUAGAUUUCACUAAAAUUAGACCUCGUGAUGCAAAAAAAAAUAUAAAUUAUAUUACCUAAUUCUAUGAAUCAACCAUUUAUCGAUUUUUUUUUUCCAUAAAGUUGUACAGGAAAAACUUGCUCAAGUUACUUUUGAGAUACAUUGCUAUCGAAUUUGGGGGAAUGGAUCAGUUAUUGUCUUGUAAUCCUUGUUAAUAUAUUUCUCCUUGUGGUGAAGUUUUUUCUUUUUACGAUCUCUACCACUUUAAAGUAAUUUUAUCACUUCAUUGACAGCCAAUUACUGUCAUGACUCAAUUUGACUUUAUAGAGAUCAUCGAAUUUGACCCUGUUCAUGGAACUGACUUACAAGUUCCUACUGGUAAAAUUUUCUUCAUAGUCAUGGCUCACCUAUAUAUUUUUUGACAUAGUUUCCAUGUGAUGGGAUGAUAUAAUUCUAUGCCGAGAAAGGAGAUGGUGUUGUACAUUAUAUAUUGGUCGAACUCUUUUUUUUUUUUUUUUUUUUUUCCUUUUUUGUUUCCUAUAUAAAAAACUUAUUGUUGGACUAUAUCAAAUUGUACUAGUGAUAAAGCUUCCUACAAAAUCUCGAAAGGUGAUAUCCACAAUCAAGGCACUUUCCUAUGUUCAAGGACUGUGUCUAACAUUCUUACAUGUACGUUGCAACAAACAAGUAUAUAGUACUGAAGAUAUCGACAAACUCACUAAAGAAAACUUUGAAACUACUUCUACCAAUUCUACUUGUCUUCUUGGAUGUGACGAGAGCAACUAAGUAUUUUACAUUGUACCAUAUGAUUUUCUGUUUAGUUUAAACAUAUUGCUGUUCUGAUAGCAUCUGGAUAUGUAAUUUACUAUCCUUUUUAUUUUUUGUUUUAUAAAAAUUCGACGCUAGGAAAUAGAUUGUUUCAACAAUGUAAUUUUUUUUUUCAUUUUUUUUUUCAGUCA